Long non-coding RNA from Corapipo altera (White-ruffed manakin), 1456 nucleotides. RefSeq lists it as uncharacterized. The record is from RefSeq and is a predicted model, not a curated record. The transcript has 2 exons. NCBI's taxonomy places the organism in Eukaryota, Metazoa, Chordata, Aves, Passeriformes, Pipridae.
CAUAUAAUAAAGUCCUGUCAAUUGCUAUAUGUCUUUCUCCAUACCUGGAACCACUCCCAUCCUGAAUCUUGUUCCUUCACAGAUUAUUUAUGUGAAGACUACAGUUUUGGAUUGAGGUGCAUUAACUUGAAUUAGUCAAAGAGUGAAAACACCAUCAAAGAGAUAUUGCUUAUGUUUGUAAAUGAGCUUUAUUAUGAUUGUGGAAUGAGAAUUUGAAAAGAAUUGUUGAGAACACUCCAGAUAGAGUUGUAUCAUUUUAUGGAACAUAUGUUUGAAACUAGACCUCCUUUUCUAUCCUGUAGAUUAAAAAGGACCACACUGAACAGCAUGACUAACACCUUUAAAAUCAAGUUAGUUAUGCUGAGAGAAGGAUUUAGCGUUUUGGAUCAAGUAUAAGCAUGUCUUUUGACCUGGAUUUAGAAACAGCUGAUAACUAAGGCAUAGAGUACCAUACCUUAAACUCACUCAAACAAUGGUGUCACCAUUCAGCAGUUCAGGACUGUGUUAAAAGGCAAAACCUAAUAAAUAAAUUAACAGAAGAGGAAAGGACAUGUAAAACCUGCUGGGCAUGAGGUAAUUUUUCUGAUUCACAUUUUAGCAAAUAGGGCAGGGUUGCUAUCAGUGACAGCAGGACACAUGCUGGGCGAGUCACUAGAGCAGAAAUUCCGUGUUGGUGGAUUAUCUCCUUCAAAUAUGAAUGAAGGAAUGAAGUAGUGUUUGAAAAUAGUAACGUUUUGUAUUGGAAAGCUUGUUGAUUUACUUUCAUCUAUGAUUUAUAUCCUUGUUGUGGUAAAUAAUGCUAGACUGUAGCCUCCAUUGCAUAGACACACAUUUAGUUGAGAUCAGCUCAUUGCAGCUCUCUCAUUAUUCUAAUUGUUUACUCCAAAAGAGUAACCUUUUGGAGAAUGUGUAAUAUGGUGAUAGCUGAUGACAACUACAGGAAAACGACAGAAUAAAUAACAAGUCAGAUCUUAGCAGAUCAACAAAUGAUCUGUGAACAUAUUUUGGGACACAUGGAUAAUUUGAAACACUAUCCUCCUUGUCAUAUUCUAAGUUGUAUGUACAAAUAAUUACAUGGUCAAAACCUUCACUGCUGUCCCUCUGUAGUCUCUACGUCUUUUCAUAUUUAACAUGACAAUAGAGCAUUUCUUAUAUAUGAUCCAUUGAUAUAUUUGGCUUGCACUGAUACACUCGAAGGCUCCUUUUUGUAGGAUUUUUGUGUGCACAAAAUCUGUUGAUCUCUCACUAGACUGCCUUCUUUUUCGUAAUGGCUUUACUGUGGCUUUCUUAUGUUUGAAUAUAAGAGCUGUUGCAGAGCUUUUGCAUUUGACUUCAUGUCCCUAAUAGUAAGCUGACAGGCCCUUCAACUCAAAGAAAUUCUGAAGGUGUUACAUCCUUCCACAACAUGCUGGGGAAUCUUUCAGUAUAACAGGCUACCUGAAAAAAAAAAAAAAAA